UAAGGAAUAUUGGACAAUGGGCGAGAGCCUGAUCCAGCCAUCCCGCGUGCAGGAAGACUGCCCUAUGGGUUGUAAACUGCUUUUAUAAGGGAAGAACGGCUACGAUUUAUCGUGGUAUGACGGUACCUUAUGAAUAAGCACCGGCUAACUCCGUG
This 155-nucleotide ribosomal RNA is filed under the name uncultured bacterium. RNAcentral describes it as "partial 16S ribosomal RNA". It matches the Rfam family "Bacterial small subunit ribosomal RNA", at positions 355 to 507 of the family's 1533-position model. The record is from RNAcentral.